UUUGAUUGAAUUCAGGUGCCAAAAACCUAUUUGGGCAUGCUGGUCGGGUCUGUGUGUGCACUAAUGGGAGUGUUGACGAUCGCACUUCCGGUGCCUGUCAUCGUCUCCAAC
This is a non-coding RNA of Nippostrongylus brasiliensis, 111 nucleotides long. NCBI's taxonomy places the organism in Eukaryota, Metazoa, Nematoda, Chromadorea, Rhabditida, Heligmosomidae. The record is from Rfam.